AAAAAAUUCCUAAAGUGAUGGAUUCAACUUUUUCCAUCGUUCGAAGAACAUUACUUAUUACUAAGUGGAAAAAAGUUUAGCAAAGUUAUCCCUGGUACCAAUCUAAAAGUCCAGAACAUAAAAUUCAUUGUAUGAUUAAGUAGUUCACAUGGAAUUUAUUUGUUAGUGAAAGGCGAAAAGUCAAAUAUAACCUUUAGUAUAAUAUGGAAUGACGUUAAUAACCGGCUGUGAAGGCACAAAAGCAGUGUGGCUUCUUAAAAGGUAUGAGUAAAGCGAUUUUGGAAGCUUUGUACCCAAGCCAUUUGUGUGCUCAGUAAAAUAAUUCUUGUAGGUAAUACUUGUGUAGAAGUGAAGUCAGAGAUGGUGAAAUGGAGUGAGAGGGUGGAUCUGGUGGUCCAGUGGUGGGUUGUUCAUGCGUGAAGAACUGUGUUCGGUGCGUGUCUGGAGGCAGCGGUGCGCGGUCUAAAAUUUGAGAAAUUGGAACAGCGAGGAAUGUGUGGCAAAGGAGGAAUGGCGUAUUUGAAGGAAGGCCAUAUUGGGAUGCUGGUUAAAGACGAGUUUUGGUGAAGGCUUUUAUAAGUUAUAGAUUUUUUGAAAAAGUUGUAUUAGCAGAGGCAGAGCGAUUUUAUUUUGCAAUGUCUUCUUGUAGCAGAACGAUCCUUGAACUGGAUGCUGGGAGGAAGAGAAUUUUAAUGGUUUAGGAUAGCGGAGAUAUCGAUGCAAUGGUACAAGGGCAUUGGUGUAUAAUUUGCUGGGUUGUAUUUAGAAUUGAAAAUCGGGCACUAAUCUUAAAGGUUUUGGCCCAAAGUGGGACAAACGGGCUAAAACAGAAAACGGGUUGGACCGGGCCUAAGUUGGACCCAAGCCCAACUUAUAUAUAUCUCCUUUAAUGAGCUUUCAGCUUAUUUUUCAUUAAAGAGAGAGAGGGAGUUCGGUUAUGAGAGAAGAGAGAAGAGAAACCAUGGGAGCACUAUUCAUCCUCCACUUUCGGGAGCCAUAACUUGAGCAACGGAGCUCCGAUUGACGAGCAGUUUGCGGCCACGUGAAGCUCUCGUCGAGCUCUUCGAUUCUAUCUAGGAAAAUCUGGUGAUCUCUAUUAGCGAGUAAUUGUUGGAUUUUACCCCUAAUCUCAUUGGAUAAG
Molecule: non-coding RNA, 1141 nt
Organism: Arachis ipaensis
Lineage: Eukaryota; Viridiplantae; Streptophyta; Magnoliopsida; Fabales; Fabaceae
Source: RefSeq, a predicted model, not a curated record